AUAAUGUGACGCUUCAGAACCUAAAAUCCCGUAUCUCCCCGUUGACACGACAACACAUAACCGGCGUUUUCAGAAAUCUCCACUUUGGCCGGAGUUUUUAGAAAUGAUCGUUUUCUGUGAUAAGACAGGGCCUCGGACAGGGGGUGUUGCAGCACCCCCAGCACUCCUACUUCCCGCGGUACUGGGUGCAACUUACAGCUGAAUGUAGUGCCAUGUUGUUAAACGAAAACCUACGCUAGCCUGGCUCGCUCUCGCGCAUCUCUGUUCGCGCUCGUGCAUGAUUGCGCGUCCAGGUACUUGGAAUGGGUGGAGUCAGAGUCAGCGUUGAAGGAGAGGGGGUAGGACCAUUUGAGUUGUGUAUUUUCAAAAUCUGCUGGCGUUUCGCAAAUCACCUACCCAACCUUUAAUAUUUCUGGUGUUACCCACUGACUGCCAUGACUGUCCUUGCUUUGUUCCAAAGGCCAAACUCACGCUACCUGCAGGAGCCAGCUGGAAGAGUCCAGACCACUAGGGGCCCGCCGCAACACUUUUUUGAAGGUGCAGACCUUUAGAGUUAAACUGAACAGCAAUGAAACAUUUUAGAAAUUAAAAUAUAAAUAUUUCAGAAACGGCUGUUUGACUGCCCAUUUAGUCUGAAAUUAAACUGGCGCUUACUAUGCUUCAAGGUGUGGACACUGAUGACGAGGCACCACCCCCCCUAAGGAAAACAGCCCGACAAUCUGUAGAUGUAGGGCCAGACAUCAAUAGUGAGUGGCUAUUUGGGCCAUCGACCACCCAAAGAGCUCAAUCAAAUGGCAGCCAGAGACUUGAGCUACUACAUCUAGAUACAGUCCAACCAAGCCACCAGCUAUUGCAUGUUAAGUCGAGGAGACAAACAUUCUAACCAUUUUUUCA
Molecule: long non-coding RNA, 894 nt
Filed under: Gadus morhua (Atlantic cod)
Lineage: Eukaryota; Metazoa; Chordata; Actinopteri; Gadiformes; Gadidae
Description: lncRNA (ENSGMOG00000034680.1)
Source: RNAcentral